UAGCAUAAACUUGUACGCCAGUGUUCCUUCUUCAAAAUAUUAUAUAUUUGAUACUUGAGCUCAUAAUGUUUGCUAAAAAGGAUUUCCCUUUCCGUGAAAGUCAACAUAAGUUCUGGAAUGAAUGACAGUUUUCAAAGUUGAGAUUUCCUUAUUACUUCAGUUAGCAACUAAGUGUUGAGUGUCUACUGUUUGUCUGUCCAUGGAUGAUCCACUUCUCAGGCAUGGGGGCCAUGUGGCUUUAAUCUCUGUGUGCGGAGCUCCAAGCUAAGGGACUGGCACAGCACACCAAAUAGUCCCACAGCAUACAUGGAAGAAUUGCGUUGGUGUGAGAUUUUGAAAAUAUACCCUCCUGACGAUCAGAGAAGAUGAAGACUACCACUCUUUCUGACAAGCAGGAGAGAAGUGGCACUCUAAAGGAAUUGAAGUAACGUG
Molecule: long non-coding RNA, 432 nt
Filed under: Equus caballus (horse)
Lineage: Eukaryota; Metazoa; Chordata; Mammalia; Perissodactyla; Equidae
Description: lncRNA (ENSECAG00000031611.2)
Source: RNAcentral